UGACAGCACAUUUGUGUCCUAUUCAGGGAU
This 30-nucleotide non-coding RNA is filed under the name Rattus norvegicus (Norway rat). Lineage: Eukaryota; Metazoa; Chordata; Mammalia; Rodentia; Muridae. The record is from RNAcentral.